This 255-nucleotide ribosomal RNA is filed under the name uncultured bacterium. Its description in RNAcentral is "partial 16S ribosomal RNA". It matches the Rfam family "Bacterial small subunit ribosomal RNA", at positions 524 to 776 of the family's 1533-position model. The record is from RNAcentral.
UACGUAGGGUGCGAGCGUUGUCCGGAAUUAUUGGGCGUAAAGAGCUCGUAGGCGGUGUGUCACGUCGGCCGUGAAAACCUGCAGCUUAACUGUGGGCGUGCGGUCGAUACGGGCAUCACUGGAGUUCGGCAGGGGAGACUGGAAUUCCUGGUGUAGCGGUGAAAAUGCGCAGAUAUCAGGAGGAACACCGAUUGCGAAGGCAGCUCGCUGGAACGUUACUGACGCUGAGACGCGAAAGCGUGGGGAGCAAACAGG